Molecule: ribosomal RNA, 353 nt
Filed under: Mantidactylus melanopleura
Lineage: Eukaryota; Metazoa; Chordata; Amphibia; Anura; Mantellidae
Description: partial 16S ribosomal RNA
Rfam family: Bacterial large subunit ribosomal RNA
Source: RNAcentral
ACGAGAAGACCCCAUGGAGCUUCAAACCCAACUACACCCCUAGCUCUUAUAGCCCCACAACCCCCCUAGGCACCGUGUGCUUGGUUUUAGGUUGGGGCGACCGCGGAGUACAAUAAAACCUCCACAAUGAAUGGGAACACCCCCUUAUCUGAGGGCCACACCCCCUAAGAAUUAGAACACUAACAUAAAAUGAUCCAUUACUUGAUCAAUGAACCAAGUUACCCUGGGGAUAACAGCGCAAUCCAUUUCAAGAGCCCCUAUCGACAAAUGGGUUUACGACCUCGAUGUUGGAUCAGGGUACCCCAGUGGUGCAGCAGCUACUAACGGUUCGUUUGUUCAACGAUUAAAACCCU